RNAcentral lists this ribosomal RNA (253 nucleotides) under uncultured bacterium. RNAcentral's name for it is "partial 16S ribosomal RNA". It matches the Rfam family "Bacterial small subunit ribosomal RNA", at positions 524 to 776 of the family's 1533-position model. The record is from RNAcentral.
UACGUAGGGUGCGAGCGUUAAUCGGAAUUACUGGGCGUAAAGCGUGCGCAGGCGGUGAGCUGUGUCCGAUGUGAAAGCCCCGGGCUUAACCUGGGAAUGGCAUUGGAAACUGGCUCGCUGGAGUGUGGCAGAGGGGGGUGGAAUUCCGCGUGUAGCAGUGAAAUGCGUAGAGAUGUGGAGGAACACCGAUGGCGAAGGCAGCCCCCUGGGUCAAGAUUGACGCUCAUGCACGAAAGCGUGGGGAGCAAACAGG